Molecule: long non-coding RNA, 688 nt
Organism: Rhipicephalus sanguineus (brown dog tick)
Lineage: Eukaryota; Metazoa; Arthropoda; Arachnida; Ixodida; Ixodidae
Exons: 3
Source: RefSeq, a predicted model, not a curated record
UGCUAACGCUCCUCCAGGGUGUUCUCCUGUCAUCUGCUUGGUGACGUGACAGUCUGUGGACAUUGCGAAUAUUGGUGGCGGCCUUCUCUGGAUCGUUGUUUUUGGGCAGCAUCGGCACGGCGUCUCCAGCCCGGCGAGUGAAUCUGGAGAAAGCUACCGAGUUGUGGUGGGAGCGGCUGCUCGUGAAUGAGCCCAAGAUCAACAUCUGCGCCAUCGACCCGACCAAGCCUUUCGGGAGCCCGGACUCGGAUACCCAGGCCAAGAUCCAGGAGCUGACUUACAACAGCCUGCUCAAGCAGGCCGGACGCAAGACGCCACAAGAAGAGAAAGUGGAGAACCUUCUCCGCGAAGCUUGGGGCAAGGACGGGUUGCCGUUCAAGGGGCAGCCCUUUGACCCCAGCAUCGUGAACAUGAGCGGCGUCAACAGUGACAUGUGACAAACUUCAUCUUCACCACAUCUUUUGGUUCUUGUCUUGGCCUGGAACACUACGUGCACAUCGACCGCAAGUGUGUGCUUUGACUCGUGUGCCACCCGGAGUUGGCUGAUUGUGUCACGAUGAAGUGUCUUUUGCGUGCGAACUCUGAUGGCCUCUGCUCCUCAAGAACUGGCCUUUGCCCUCUUGCUACAAGAACAGUCUGUGACCUGUGCGUGGUGCUCCUGAACUCAGUGAGGUGGCAGAACUGUACC